CGAUUGCUGAGGAGUCCCACAAUAGGACGAAACGGCCGUCCAGUAC
RNAcentral lists this non-coding RNA (46 nucleotides) under Schistosoma bovis. The record is from RNAcentral. Lineage: Eukaryota; Metazoa; Platyhelminthes; Trematoda; Strigeidida; Schistosomatidae. RNAcentral also lists the same sequence under 1 other name.